GUUUAACCGGAGAAGUGCAUCGGAAACUGGGAGACUUGAGUGCAGAAGAGGACAGUGGAACUCCAUGUGUAGCGGUGGAAUGCGUAGAUAUAUGGAAGAACACCAGUGGCGAAGGCGGCUGUCUAGUCUGUAACUGACGCUGAGGCUCGAAAGCAUGGGUAGCGAACAGGAUUAGAUACCCUGGUAGUCUAUGCCGUAAACGAUGAGUGCUAAGUGUUGGAGGGUUUCCGCCCUUCAGUGCUGCAGCUAACGCAUUAAGCACUCCGCCUGGGGAGUACGACCGCAAGGUUGAAACUCAAAGGAAUUGACGGGGGCCCGCACAAGCGGUGGAGCAUGUGGUUUAAUUCGAAGCUACGCGAAGAACCUUACCAGGUCUUGACAUCUUCUGCCAAUCUUAGAGAUAAGACGUUCCCUUCGGGGACAGAAUGACAGGUGGUGCAUGGUUGUCGUCAGCUCGUGUCGUGAGAUGUUGGGUUAAGUCCCGCAACGAGCGCAACCCUUAUUAUCAGUUGCCAGCAUUCAGUUGGGCACUCUGGUGAGACUGCCGGUGACAAACCGGAGGAAGGUGGGGAUGACGUCAAAUCAUCAUGCCCCUUAUGACCUGGGCUACACACGUGCUACAAUGGACGAUACAACG
This 637-nucleotide ribosomal RNA is filed under the name uncultured bacterium. Its description in RNAcentral is "bacterial SSU rRNA". It matches the Rfam family "Bacterial small subunit ribosomal RNA", at positions 607 to 1244 of the family's 1533-position model. The record is from RNAcentral.